UACGAGGGGGGCUAGCGUUGUUCGGAAUCACUGGGCGUAAAGCGCACGUAGGCGGCGCGUUAAGUCAGGGGUGAAAUCCCAGAGCUCAACUCUGGAACUGCCUUUGAUACUGGCGUGCUCGAGUGUGGAAGAGGUUGGUGGAACUGCGAGUGUAGAGGUGAAAUUCGUAGAUAUUCGCAAGAACACCAGUGGCGAAGGCGGCCAACUGGUCCAUUACUGACGCUGAGGUGCGAAAGCGUGGGGAGCAAACAGG
This 253-nucleotide ribosomal RNA is filed under the name uncultured bacterium. RNAcentral's name for it is "partial 16S ribosomal RNA". It matches the Rfam family "Bacterial small subunit ribosomal RNA", at positions 524 to 776 of the family's 1533-position model. The record is from RNAcentral.